Long non-coding RNA from Brienomyrus brachyistius, 524 nucleotides. RefSeq lists it as uncharacterized. Lineage: Eukaryota; Metazoa; Chordata; Actinopteri; Osteoglossiformes; Mormyridae. The transcript has 3 exons. The record is from RefSeq and is a predicted model, not a curated record.
CUGCUCUUUGAACAUGGAUCAGCAGCUAUUGCCAAACACUUUCUUGGCUGCUAAUCACACUUUUCUCCUUUGUGUGACUCACAGUAGGUAUUUAAGAUAGCAGCUGCAAAUAAAAAGCUCUUUCCUUGCCUUCUUCACUUCAAACCAGUAAAGCACAAAUUGCGUUGCAAUUAUCUCCUUUUUUUCUUAUUACGGAGGGGGAACGCGCUCUUACUUUUUAACGAUUUCAAAACGCAAUAUCGCCCGAUAUCUGCUGGAAAUGCUACAGCGAAGGGGCAAAAAAUAUUACUUGAAAACAAGAAAAUGGAAUAACGCUAAAUGACGAGAUGUCUACUUGUAUAAGAACUCUUCAAAGUAACGGAAAAAAGACAGUCACCGGAAAAGUGUAGCAAGGGAGGAGUGUUUAUAUUUAUUACAUUCAUUUCAUUGCGCGUGCAUGUGUGUUUUAAUUCCAUGAUGAAGUCAUGUACUAAAAGAAAAUUUUUAAAAGACCAAAAAAAAAGCUUUUGUAAGUCGGCGGCAGG